Molecule: ribosomal RNA, 486 nt
Filed under: uncultured bacterium
Lineage: Bacteria
Description: bacterial SSU rRNA
Rfam family: Bacterial small subunit ribosomal RNA
Source: RNAcentral
AAUCAACGCUGGCGGCGUGCCUAACACAUGCAAGUCGAACGCGAAAGCCCCUUCGGGGGUAAGUAGAGUGGCGUCCGGGUGAGUAACACGUAGGUAAUCUGCCUUCGGGUGGGGAAUAACCAGUCGAAAGAUUGGCUAAUACCGCAUAAUGCAGCGGCACCUAAUGGUGAUUAGUUGUUAAAGCGGGGGAUCGUAAGACCUCGCGCCUGAAGAGGAGCCUGCGGCAGAUUAGCAGUUGGUGAGGUAAUGGCUCACCAAGGCUUCGAUCUGUAGCUGGUCUGAGAGGACGGCCAGCCACACUGGCACUGACACACGGGCCAGACUCCUACGGGAGGCAGCAGUGGGGGAAUUUUGGGCAAUGGGCGAAAGCCUGACCCAGCAACGCCGCGUGAGGGAGGAAAUCCUUCGGGAUGUAAACCUCACAGCAAGGGAAGAGAGCUCAAGGCCGAAUAAGCUUUGAGUCCGACGGUACCUUGCGUAAGCCAC